GCUGAGCGUGGUGGCGCAUGCUUGUAAUCCCAGGAGUUCCGGAGGCUGAGGCAGGAGGAUAGCGAGUUCAAAGCCAGCCUCAGCUAAAAUGAGGUGCUAAGCAACUCAGUGAGACCCUGUCUCUA
This 125-nucleotide small RNA is filed under the name Marmota monax (woodchuck). Lineage: Eukaryota; Metazoa; Chordata; Mammalia; Rodentia; Sciuridae. The record is from RNAcentral.